Ictalurus punctatus (channel catfish) is the source of this 350-nucleotide long non-coding RNA. The record is from Ensembl. Lineage: Eukaryota; Metazoa; Chordata; Actinopteri; Siluriformes; Ictaluridae.
GACAUUUGAGUUAAUUGCCACUAGGUGGCACCAUUAUGAAAUGUAAAACUCAUUUCAGAGUGGACGUUGCAUGCUGGGUGCGGUGGCGCGCGCCUGUAAUCCACGUCACUGGGAGGCUGCGGCUGGUGGAGCUCUUGAGCUCAGGGGUUCUGGACUACCGUGGGCUUUGUUGAUCGGGUGUCCGCGCUAAGAUCGGUGUUUCUAAGGGAGCUCUGAAAUACCAGGUCGUCUAAGGAGGGGUGAACCGGCCCAGGUCGGGAACGGAGCAGGUCAAAGCCCCCGUACCGAUCAGUAGUGGGAUAGCACCUGUGAAUAGACGCGGUAGUGCAGCCUGGGUGAUACGAUGUGAC